RNAcentral lists this ribosomal RNA (1267 nucleotides) under Salmonella enterica. RNAcentral describes it as "partial 23S ribosomal RNA". It matches the Rfam family "Bacterial large subunit ribosomal RNA", at positions 911 to 2158 of the family's 2925-position model. The record is from RNAcentral. RNAcentral also lists the same sequence under 1 other name. Lineage: Bacteria; Pseudomonadati; Pseudomonadota; Gammaproteobacteria; Enterobacterales; Enterobacteriaceae.
UGUUUCGGCUAGGGGGCCAUCCCGGCUUACCAACCCGAUGCAAACUGCGAAUACCGGAGAAUGUUAUCACGGGAGACACACGGCGGGUGCUAACGUCCGUCGUGAAGAGGGAAACAACCCAGACCGCCAGCUAAGGUCCCAAAGUCAUGGUUAAGUGGGAAACGAUGUGGGAAGGCCCAGACAGCCAGGAUGUUGGCUUAGAAGCAGCCAUCAUUUAAAGAAAGCGUAAUAGCUCACUGGUCGAGUCGGCCUGCGCGGAAGAUGUAACGGGGCUAAACCAUGCACCGAAGCUGCGGCAGCGACGCUUAUGCGUUGUUGGGUAGGGGAGCGUUCUGUAAGCCUGUGAAGGUGUGUCGUGAGGCAUGCUGGAGGUAUCAGAAGUGCGAAUGCUGACAUAAGUAACGAUAAAGCGGGUGAAAAGCCCGCUCGCCGGAAGACCAAGGGUUCCUGUCCAACGUUAAUCGGGGCAGGGUGAGUCGACCCCUAAGGCGAGGCCGAAAGGCGUAGUCGAUGGGAAACGGGUUAAUAUUCCCGUACUUGGUGUUACUGCGAAGGGGGGACGGAGAAGGCUAUGUUGGCCGGGCGACGGUUGUCCCGGUUUAAGCGUGUAGGUGUGUGUUCCAGGUAAAUCCGGUUCACUUUAACACUGAGGCGUGACGACGAGGCACUACGGUGCUGAAGCAACAAAUGCCCUGCUUCCAGGAAAAGCCUCUAAGCAUCAGGUAACAUCAAAUCGUACCCCAAACCGACACAGGUGGUCAGGUAGAGAAUACCAAGGCGCUUGAGAGAACUCGGGUGAAGGAACUAGGCAAAAUGGUGCCGUAACUUCGGGAGAAGGCACGCUGACACGUAGGUGAAGUGAUUUACUCAUGGAGCUGAAGUCAGUCGAAGAUACCAGCUGGCUGCAACUGUUUAUUAAAAACACAGCACUGUGCAAACACGAAAGUGGACGUAUACGGUGUGACGCCUGCCCGGUGCCGGAAGGUUAAUUGAUGGGGUCAGCGCAAGCGAAGCUCCUGAUCGAAGCCCCGGUAAACGGCGGCCGUAACUAUAACGGUCCUAAGGUAGCGAAAUUCCUUGUCGGGUAAGUUCCGACCUGCACGAAUGGCGUAAUGAUGGCCAGGCUGUCUCCACCCGAGACUCAGUGAAAUUGAACUCGCUGUGAAGAUGCAGUGUACCCGCGGCAAGACGGAAAGACCCCGUGAACCUUUACUAUAGCUUGACACUGAACAUUGAGCCUUGAUGUGUAGGAUAGGUGGGAGGCUUU